GCUGACUGGGGGACAGCAGCCGGGGUAAGCUGGGGGGGGGUGCGGGUGCCUGGAUUUAUUGGGCGUAACGGGCGCGCAGGGGGGUCGGCACGUCCGUUGUGAAAUCGCCCGGCUCAACUGGGCGGGGUCAGCGGAUACGGUCGGGCUCGAGCAAGCUAGGGGGCAAUGGAAUUCCCGGUGUAGUGGUGGAAUGCGUAGAUAUCGGGAGGAACACCAGUGGCGAAGGCGGUUGCCUGGGGCUUUGCUGACGCUGAUGCGCGAAAGCGUGGGGAGCGAUCCGGAUUAGAUACCCGGGUAGUC
RNAcentral lists this ribosomal RNA (300 nucleotides) under uncultured Bacillus sp. RNAcentral describes it as "partial 16S ribosomal RNA". The stretch from base 52 to 300 matches the Rfam family "Bacterial small subunit ribosomal RNA", at positions 547 to 795 of the family's 1533-position model. The record is from RNAcentral. Lineage: Bacteria; Bacillati; Bacillota; Bacilli; Caryophanales; Bacillaceae.